GCCGUUACGAAUGAAAAGGGAACUUCGGUGCAAGUCCGAGACUAUACCCGUAGCUGUAAGUUUUUUUAGACUAUGUGCAUUCUUGAUGACCACUGCCAAUAGGUGGGAAGGUCGCACUAGUUAAACAAGUCAGAAGACCUGCCUUUAUUAUAU
This 153-nucleotide non-coding RNA is filed under the name uncultured Alistipes sp. Lineage: Bacteria; Pseudomonadati; Bacteroidota; Bacteroidia; Bacteroidales; Rikenellaceae. The record is from RNAcentral.